GGGGACAUGGGGUAAUCAGGCAUCCUAUUGGGCUCCAGUCAGGUUUUGAUUAGAAACGGGUCAACUGAUAUGGUGAUGAUUGACUGGAACUAUGAACCGGGAAGAGACCCGCAGAUCUGGGUUCAAAUCCCAGUGUCCCCA
RNAcentral lists this transfer RNA (141 nucleotides) under Cuniculiplasma sp. C_DKE. It matches the Rfam family "tRNA". From Rfam's summary of the family: Transfer RNA (tRNA) molecules are approximately 80 nucleotides in length. Their secondary structure includes four short double-helical elements and three loops (D, anti-codon, and T loops). Lineage: Archaea; Methanobacteriati; Thermoplasmatota; Thermoplasmata; Thermoplasmatales; Cuniculiplasmataceae. The record is from Rfam by way of RNAcentral.